Molecule: long non-coding RNA, 594 nt
Organism: Carya illinoinensis
Lineage: Eukaryota; Viridiplantae; Streptophyta; Magnoliopsida; Fagales; Juglandaceae
Exons: 2
Source: RefSeq, a predicted model, not a curated record
CAUUGCCACAUGAUCUCGCCACAUAGCAGGGAAUGACCAGUGCCUCCUUCGGCCUUCUCUUAAUGAAAGGCCGGAGUUGCAUGGUCUCCAUUACUACUCAGCGUCAGUAUCAGCUUGGUGUGGACAUACGACUCGAGGAGGUCUGAAAAUAUUGGCAGACGAAAUUCGCUUCUUUCAAUUGAACACUGGCGCUAAGAUCCCUUCGGUAGGGAUGGGGACAUGGCGGGCGGAUGCUGGACGCGUCGGCGGAGCCUUGACCACUGCCAUUAAGGAGAGGCUUGGUAAGGGUACAGCAUAUGUCCAUGAGACCUUUGGUGCCUACAGGACCGUUGAAGAACUUUGGGAUGGCGAGCUGUGAACAGACAUUGGGUUUCUUCUAGUAUAUUGUGGUUUUCAUUGGCCUUAUUAAUUACAAAUUACUUGAUUUUCAAUGCGUUGAGGUUAGAGUGCUUUUGGCCUCAGAAAUUAAAGUAAACUUGUCGGGGAAAAUUAUUGAUUUUUAAUUGUUUUAUAAUUUAAUCAUGAAGUUGCUUAAACGUGGAAUUACUCGAUUACUAAUUGUAAUAAAUAGUUUAUGAUGUGUUCUAAAUUUUU